RNAcentral lists this long non-coding RNA (3281 nucleotides) under Elaeis guineensis (African oil palm). RNAcentral describes it as "long non-coding RNA (EGUI_LNC002660)". The record is from RNAcentral. Lineage: Eukaryota; Viridiplantae; Streptophyta; Magnoliopsida; Arecales; Arecaceae.
UCAUCACCAUUUUCAUCUUUGUCAUCAGUACCAGCUUCUUUUGACCAUGUCAUCCUCCCCAAGCUGCACAGAAAUGUAGAAGACAAGAUGGUUUUCUUGUAAUGCAUUAACAGCUUUAGUUGUCAAACAUGAAAAAUGAACGACUUAGAUGCUCCUGUUGAGUUUGUCAAGAUUGUAUUUUUUGCUGAGAAUUUUAAUGCCUGCAUGUACAGUCAUGUGAGAGGAGUGUGAUGCAGUGAAAUAGGAGCAUUUUUGGAGAUGAGGCUUGCAGCCAGUCUUUUUGAUGCCCACUUAGUCCAAGCAGAUUAAAAUUAUUGAUUCACAGGCCACUCUUAUUUUUGUAAUUAUGGCAGGUGCAGAGACGGUUGCAAGUUCCUUAAUGAAGAGGUGUACUGUUUUGUUUUUCAUGUUGUAUUGUGGAGGGUUCAUCUAAAUUUGGAAAUGCCUUCCAGUUUACCAGCACUCGGCUUGAAACUUUGUUUUGUUUCAUUCUUUCACCACCUUAUUUCACUUUGUGUUAGGUAUCCAAAGAGGAGGCCAAUUUUGGUGUAGCCUGAUGUAAUCUCCAGAUAUCUCUGAUGCAAGGUGAUCUCUGGCACUAAAGCAUCUGGUUGUAGCACAAAGUUUCGGCGCAAACAAAGUGCAACCACAAAAAACAGUCAUGAUACCAGAAAGGAUGAAAAGUCCAGGUCUACCUCUCCCUGAAAUCACAUCAUGUAUUUUUAUCAUUGUUAGCACCAUCAUUGUCAUUGUCAUGCUCACCAUAUGAUUAAAGGAUUCCACUUCUUCAGAUCAUGGCAGCUUUACAAAGCCACAUCGAUAUUAAUCUUUUGGCUAGGAUGUAUUUCCUUUGAUACUUUAAGGAAUUGGAAAUGAAUAGUAGAUAUGCCAACUGAGAAAGUUUUGCUAGUUUCAUAAAUAAUAGCUAAGUUCAAAUGAAAUGAUCAACACCAGUUCAUUUGGGAAUUAACAGGGGUAUGCUAACUAAGAAAGGAUGCUGAUUCUUUAAUUAAUAAAUUUUGUGCAUUCAUCAAAACUUGAUCCUCUAGAAUUGCGUGAGAAGGGAAUUCAAUGUUUAUUCAAUCAGGUUCAUGUAAAUGCGAUGACUGAUAAAUUUCUUUCAAAGAUAAUUCAAGAUUUCACUAGCAGGUAACUUUUUCUCAUGAUUUUGUCAAAGCUGUGGUUAGAUAUUUUCCUGAUAAAUGGAUACCUUGGAGUAAUUGGUCAUUAUUCAUUAAUUUAUCAUUAAAUUGCACAAGGUUCAGGCAUGUGCUCACGUAUGUGCAAUAACAUAGUGAAUACCAUAUAAUAUUAAUCUACACUAUCCAUUUAUACAUAUUAUGUAAAGCACAAUAUGUGAAUAAUAUACAACAGAAUGCUUAUGAAUUCUCCUUGAAUUGGAAAUAUGGAAAGAUAUUAAAUAUGAUGAGGCCAAACUGUUUAGAAGCCUACCUUAGAUUGUAAGAGUAAUGUUCAAUCCGUUGGUUGUAUCUUUCAAUGUCCCUUCCUAUCAGGUACAGUGAAUGCUGAUGUAGAAAUAAAGCCACUGGAACAUUGUGAGAAGAGAGUAUUUAGCAGAGACAAAUAUUGGUUAAUCUUCAAACGUUUUUUUAGAUUUGAGAUUGCUUGACAUCAAUGUAAACUUAUAAUCUGAAACACUCUCAUGAUAAAGGUUUUGAAUCCCAAGGAACAUGGCAAUACCAAUUUUUCUAUAGAAUAGGCCAUGCCGCCAUCUCACCCUAUCUUGACACUUGGGAUAGGGGAUGUCCCAAGAUGAGCCGAUCAAAACGUUGAGAUAAUGGCAGGAUGGUCGUAUCCUGAAACUGAGGAUGGUAUCCUAUCUGGGUGUCUUGUGGGAUAUCUUGCCGGGACUGGAGUCCUUGCUUAUAAUAGAUUUUACCAAACAUGCUUAUGAUUGAUUUUACCAAAUUUUGGCAUGACUGAUUGGUUACAAGACAGUAUUUUGAGAUGCCUUGACUAUUGAAUCACAAAUUAACAAGGACUUCCAUGCAAUGAUACAAGACAAAUCUAGUACAAGGGUGCAAGGAAGAGAACUCUCAGUUUGAUGGAUGCAACAACUCCUUUACUCAUUGGAAUCUAUAUAUCUAAGAAAAACUCCAUAAAACAUAAAAGAAUAUAUUCUUUGAUCAAAGUUGAUGAAAAGAGAAACAGUUCUAUUCAUUUUACUCCCUGAGUCCAAGGAAGCACAAAAAUCUUAUGGAGAAUCCCGAAACGCCUGCCAACAUUGAGUGGUUCAUGGGAUUCCAAAUAUGCAAUUUAACCAAAAGGUAUUGAAGUUGCAUCUAUAGGCACAAAGCAAUGAAUAUUUUUAAUGUCAGAAGAUCACUGUUUCCCACUCAACCACUGAACAAUUUUACCCUUAUGACUGAAGGGGUUGUAAGACACUAAAACUACUUCCUAAUUUUUAUAUGCAAUAUAGGCUUGUCUACAGUGCUCUAUGAAAUAUUAAUUAGUGAAUUAUGAACUACAAAUUAAGUUUCAUAUCUUUUAAAAGCAACACUAUUUUGAGAGAUCUAAAAAAAUUGAGAAAACUAUAAUAUUUGGGGGACCUAUACAGUUUAGUCAUCCAUAAACAGUAUCUGCAUUACUUAGAAAAUGAAACAUUAGUAACAAUAUGACAAUAGAAUCAGGAAAGGAAACCAAAGGCACAUAAACCUAUUGUUGGAGAAAGUCUAAGAACAACUACCGAUAUCUCAACUAAGAUAACAAAUUUACUUUAAAGUAACUCAUCAACAGUGCAAAAUAGCAUCUCUUGAAAUAAGUGUCCCAAUAAAGAUCUCCAAGAUCAAAACCAAGCUAACAUGGUUACUAAGUGUCCUUAAUUUAAGGCCCAAACUUAUUUUCUUUCUUCCUAAGAAAACUAAAGCAGGGUGAUUCCAUUUCCAAUAGCAUCAAUUACACAAACAUUUUGCAAUUUCAUUGAUGUAAUAUUUGAAAGUGGACAGAGUAGUUCAGCUUAGCUUCUAGCCUUCUUCAUUUGAAUGGCCUCCAUAUGUUCAAAAUUAAGGGAAAGGCAAACAAGAAACAAAGACAAAUAGGCACCAAUAUCAAGAACUCCCAAGCAUAACAAGAACUCAAAAGUUUAUUCUAAAAUCUAUUACCCAAUCCGGCGAUAAAGACCAACGUGGCUUUCAUCCCGGAGGCACGUGGGAUGGGAGAUGAAUGACAGCUCUCACAGAUCAAAGGGGGCACGGAUUGGGAAGACGAAGGGAGUUGGUGGCAGCCGGGUUGGGUGUUUAAAUGUUAAUGGCCCGGGCCUC